Molecule: long non-coding RNA, 476 nt
Organism: Cyprinus carpio carpio
Lineage: Eukaryota; Metazoa; Chordata; Actinopteri; Cypriniformes; Cyprinidae
Source: Ensembl
GUAAAACACAGCUUGAGGGCUGUUGAUUUUUUUGGGAUAGGUGGCGCUAUCGAGCCAUUUUGCCGCACCCUCUUCUGAAACCUAUAUCAGCGGUAAAUUUUCACCAGUUCUGAUGUGUGUGCAAAGUUUCGUGAGUUUUGGAGCAUGUUUAGGCCCUCAAAAAUGCGACUCAUUGCGGAGAAGAAGAAGAAGAAAUAUAGCUGCAAGCAGCAAUGGUGGGCUCAAGCCAUCAGCGCAAACACCGCCCCGGUGGCAUCAGGAAAAUUGUGCCCAGCGGGCACAUGCAUUUACAGUAACUCUAUGGCAGUCUGGUUUUAAGGAUUCGGCAAUUAAAGGGUUAAUCCAAACCAUCAAGACUAUGAAAGACACACACACACAGAACAAUAUAUAAAACUUUAGUAACACUUUUAAUAAGGUUUCAGUUAUUAACAUUAACUAUAUUAAUUAACAUGAACAAUAAUUAUAUAGCAUGUCAA